UGUAUAAAAGUCAAAGAGAGACAAAUUAUUGUUAAUAAUUUUAAUGGAUUAUACUCCUUAUACAA
RNAcentral lists this transfer RNA (65 nucleotides) under Cacopsylla melanoneura. RNAcentral's name for it is "tRNA-Asn". Lineage: Eukaryota; Metazoa; Arthropoda; Insecta; Hemiptera; Psyllidae. The record is from RNAcentral.